UUUUUUAUUUCAUAUAUAUGUAAAUAUGCUCCACAUAUAUAUUCUACACUUCUUUUAAGUCACAGUGUGAGAAGUUGCUGCAAUGUGAGAAGUUGUGUAGUAGAGUUAGCUGGAAAAUCUUUGCUCUCAGCUAGGGCAGCAUGGCUGACCUUUGACUCCACAGGAAAGUCCACCCUCUGUUCAAACCCUCUUGUUCCAGACAGCCCAGCACAGAUGGCAUGAGUGGUUCUGGCGAGCCAGCCGGUGAGAACAGGCAGGCAGACAUCUGCAGGUGAAGGCCGGGAGGGAAUCACGGCUGGAAGGUCAUUGAAAGUCGAUGCACAGAAAGGCUGUUUCCCCAGCAGCAGAAAUUACCCUGUAAGACCUUUGCAGGUCCAUGAGGCAGGAGGCCAAGGGCGAUAUACAAUGAAUAGUUAAACUGUCCUAAGAAGGGCCUGGUGUCUAUUAAAAUCCCAAACACCUGAAUCACAUCUGACUUGAAGAUUACCACCUAAAGGUUCUGAGCACCAAACAGUCCUAGGAACAAGAAUAUUGGCACACACACACAAAAAAAAAAAAAAAAUCACGUGAGAGUUGUUAAAAGUACCAGUGCCCAGACCAGUUAAGAAAGAGUCCCUAACCAUCAGUACAUAUCUCUAAACAGCUCCUGCAGAGGACAAGACAAAAAGGACCACUCCUCAAAGCACAAAACUGGACUGGCUGGUUGUUUAAAGUGGUGAGUUGAGCUGAGUGAGCUCUGAACACCCAAAAUUAAAACUUAAGUUAAUAGCUGUGGAGAUUUCAUCAUUUCUUAAGAAAUUUUCUCUCUCUCUCUCUCUUUUUUUUUUGUAUUUUUGUCUCUUUUAGGACUGCACCUGCAGCAGAUGGAGGUUCCCAGGCUAGGGGUUGAACUGGAGCCGUAGCUGCUGGCCUAAAACACAGCUAUAGCAACUUGGGAUCCAAGCCGUGUCUGCAACUGACACCACAGUUCACAGCAACACAGGAUCCUUAACCCACUGAGUGAGAGGCCAGGGAUUGAAUACGCACCCUCAUGGUUCCUAAUCAAAUUCAUUUCUUCUGCGCCACAAUGGGAACUCCAAGAAAUUAUUUUUUAAGAAAAAGAGAAUGAGGCAAAGAGUCUAGAGACCUGAUUAUUAUACCAAACUUUGCCAGUCAUUUCAACUGAGAACCUACCUAUUCCUUGUCUGUGUAAUAUAAUAGAGUUGGAUAAAGUAAUCUCCAAGGUCCUUCCUUUCCUCCUAUUUCUGUUGUCAAAUGCUGCUGGUAUAAAACUCUGAACAAUCUCUUCUUUUCCUUUUAAAAACUGGUAGUUCCCUGGUGUCCUAGAAGAUUAAUAAUCGUGCCUUGUCAAUGUUGUGAUGCCACUGUGUCACCCCGGCUGUGGCGUGGGUUCAAUCUCUGGACCAGGAACUUCUGCAUGCCUCAGGCAUUGCCUAAUAAACAAAAACUGUUAAUUUUUUUCUGAUGAUUGAAAAAUAAGAAUAUCAUAAUUUUAUAUUUUAAAGCCUCUGUCCCACCUUUCAUUUAAUAAGAAAUAAAACAUGAAAUGUUUUAUGCUAUGAUCACUCAUUUAAGAUCAUAUAGAAAAUCAUCAUUAGUACAACAGGGAAGAAAAAAAAUUAAAAAUCAUGUAGGUAGGGAAAAAUAAAUAAAACUUUUUCUAUAGGCAGAUGACAUGAUUGUAUAUGUAGAAAAUAUUAAGAAUUUACAAAAAAAGGAAAGACUUUAAUAAGUUUAGCAAGGUCUAAGAAUAUAAGUUCAAUAUACAAAUAUCGGAUGUAUUUCUAUAUUCAAGCACUGAAAAAUCACAAAUUGAUUUUUUUAAGUAUUAUUUAAAAUAUCCAAAAAUAAACUAUAAAUAAAUCUAACAAAAUUUGCGUGUGAAAUCUAAUAAGAUUUAUAUGUUAUAACUACAAAAUAUUGGAGAGAAUAAUAAAAAAAAAUGUGUUCAUGGCUUAGAAGGAUCGAUGUUUUGAAGACGUAAAUUGUCAGAGUUCCUGCUGUGGUUCAGAGGCUUAAGAACCUAACAUAGUGUCAUGAGGAUUUAGGUUGGAUCUCUGGUCUCAUUCAGUGGGUUUGGAUCUGGCAAUGUGGCAAGCUGCAGCAUAGUUGGCAGAUGCAGCUUUUGCUGUGGCUGUUGAUGUAGGCCAGAAACUGCAGCUUGGAUUGGACCCUUAGCCCAGGAUAUUAUUUUAAGAGGUGGUGAGGCCCUUAAAAAAAAAGAAAACAUGUGUCAAUUCUCCCCAAACUAAUUGAUAGAUUCAAUGAAACUCCAAUCAAUAACCUAGAAGGCUUUUGUAGACUCUGAAAAGCUGAUCCUAAUAUUUAUAAGAAAAAGCAGAGGAUACAUAAUAAACAAAAUAAUUUUAAAAAUAAAUAACAAAGUUGAAUGCUAUCUGAUUUCAUGACUUACUAUAAAACUUCAGUAAGAAUUACUGUAUAAGACACAUUUAACUUUGGUUAGGUGGGAUCCGGAAAAGAUGGGCUAAAGAAGGCACCUGAAAACAUGUGUGCUCAUUAGUAUGGUCAGGAACCCUAGCUAUGCACUGGAUAUAUUUUGUAAAUAAAGUUUUAUUGGAAUACAAACAUAUAUGCCCAUUUGUUUACAUACAGUCUAUGACUGUUUUCACACCACAGUGUCCAAGUUGAGUAGUUGCAACAGAGUCAGAGAACAUAUGGAUAAGGUUGCCAGAUUUAGCAAAUGAAAAUACAAGAAGCUCAGUUAAAUUUGAAUUUCAAAAAAAACCACAAAAAAAAGUUUUAUUAUAAGUAUGACCCAUGCAAUAACUAGGACAUAGUCAUACAAAAAAUUAUUUGAGGUAUAUUUGAAAUGCCUUGAAUUUUAUUUCUAUGUAUAAAUUUAAAGACUGAAGUAUUUAAUCUUGGACCUUCAUAGAAAAAGUUUACCAACACCUGCUUUAAGGUAAGUGAGAAAACCUUCUUUAACAAUUAAUUAUAUUGUCAAUAUUUAAAAUGAUUUGAAAUUGUUUUUCCCUGAAAGAAGUUAAACAAUUAACCAAGUAUUAAUACAUUUGUCUUUUUUGAGCUACCAAGAUUAAAAUAUGACACCUAAAAUUCUAACUAUUUCACUAAUUUUUUCACCAGCUUCAAAACUUCCAAUAAACUCCUCUACAUAUGAGAGUAUACUAUUAUUUGGAGCAGUGGCUCACAAACUUGCACAUCAUAUUACCUAGGGUGCUUUUUAAAAAUACAAAUUCAGAGUUCCUGUUGUGACACAAUAGGAUCAGUUGUGUCUUGGAAGCUCCGGGACACAGGUUUGAUCCCCAACCCAGCACAGUGGGUUAAGAAUACAUUGCCACAGCUGCAGCUUAGGUCACAACUGCAACUCAGGUCUGAUCCCUGACUUGAAAACUCCAUAUGCCACAGGGUGGCCAAAAAGGGAAAAUAAAUAAAUUAAUUUAAUUUAAUAAAAAUAAAUAUACACACUCUUAAUUAAGCCCCAGACCCAUAAAUUCUGAUUCAUUAUGUCUAAAUUGGAAACCAGGAAUAUUUUUAUUUUUUUCAGUUUUUGAGAUGAUUUUGGAUAGGCUAGAGAACUGAUGACUUGCACACUGGUUUGCAAACUUUUACAUGUAUCAGGGCUUGUUAAAACUCAGAUUGCUUGGCCCUAGUUCCAGAGUUUCUGAUUUAGUAGGUCUGAGGUGGUGCUCUAGAAUGUAGAUGGCAGAGUAGCAGGACAUGAAGCUCACCUACUCCCACAAAGACAGCAAAAAUACACCUAUAUGUGAAACUAAUCACACAAAAAUUUGCUGAACACAGCAAAGGGAUUCUGAUAGAGCAAGAAAAUCUUCACGUAACCAAGGAGGACAAAAGCAAAAAAAAAAAAAAAAAAA
This 3854-nucleotide long non-coding RNA is filed under the name Sus scrofa (pig). RNAcentral's name for it is "lncRNA (ENSSSCG00055014442.1)". Lineage: Eukaryota; Metazoa; Chordata; Mammalia; Artiodactyla; Suidae. The record is from RNAcentral.